This 67-nucleotide transfer RNA is filed under the name Triatoma infestans. Its description in RNAcentral is "tRNA-Phe". Lineage: Eukaryota; Metazoa; Arthropoda; Insecta; Hemiptera; Reduviidae. The record is from RNAcentral.
ACUCAAAUAGCUUAAGUUUAAAGUAAAGUAUUGAAGAUACUUGGAUAAGAAUAAUUCUUUUUGAGUA